Vicugna pacos (alpaca) is the source of this 94-nucleotide non-coding RNA. The record is from RefSeq and is a predicted model, not a curated record. NCBI's taxonomy places the organism in Eukaryota, Metazoa, Chordata, Mammalia, Artiodactyla, Camelidae.
AAAUAAAAUAAAGGCUACCUCUGGCUUCUGUAUGGAACAUAGAAGGCAGAAUAGCAUGAGAAGAAACAGGGAGGUAGAGCGACGUGUAGGAAAA